This 253-nucleotide ribosomal RNA is filed under the name uncultured bacterium. RNAcentral's name for it is "partial 16S ribosomal RNA". It matches the Rfam family "Bacterial small subunit ribosomal RNA", at positions 524 to 776 of the family's 1533-position model. The record is from RNAcentral.
UACAUGUGGGGCAAGCGUUGUUCGGAAUUACUGGGCAUAAAGGGUGCGUAGGCGGCGCGGUAAGUCGGGUGUGAAAUCUCGGAGCUUAACUCCGAAACUGCAUUCGAUACUGCCGUGCUUGAGGACUGGAGAGGAGACUGGAAUUUACGGUGUAGCGGUGAAAUGCGUAGAUAUCGUAAGGAAGACCAGUGGCGAAGGCGGCGAUCUGGGAAGAUACUGACGCUGAGGUGCGAAAGCGUGGGGAGCAAACAGG